RNAcentral lists this long non-coding RNA (373 nucleotides) under Brassica napus (rape). RNAcentral's name for it is "long non-coding RNA (BNAP_LNC021797)". Lineage: Eukaryota; Viridiplantae; Streptophyta; Magnoliopsida; Brassicales; Brassicaceae. The record is from RNAcentral.
UCAAUUCGAAACCAGCUAUCUAAAUACCUAAAUCGAGUAUAUGAGAAGUUCUCAUUUUCUUUUUAGACAUACAAGGAAGGGAAUGUCCCCCUUACAACAUUCGAUCAAAAUCAUGUUACCGACGCUUCUCUUGUCCACCAAUUACUUUGUCCACAUAUAUGGUGUCCACAAUAUGGCACAUAUAUGGUGUCCACAUGUAUGGUAUCCACAUAUAGAUCUUAUGCAUGUAAACAGAUCCAAUGCUCAUAAACGAUUCACUUUUUUCCAUACACCUACCUUUUCGUUUUAACUUUUUUCAUUUAUUACAACUAAACACAAACUUAGUUUCAACUUACUCACCUUACGGUUGCCUCCUUAAAAGAAAGAGAUUCUC